RNAcentral lists this long non-coding RNA (299 nucleotides) under Sus scrofa (pig). RNAcentral describes it as "lncRNA (ENSSSCG00070024871.1)". The record is from RNAcentral. Lineage: Eukaryota; Metazoa; Chordata; Mammalia; Artiodactyla; Suidae.
CGCCUGUCCCCACCUCUCAGUGUUGACACUGCCUGUCCUGGUGGAGGUACUGAACAGCUGCCUAUUUUUGCCUAUCACUUGCAGUAAUGGGAAGACAGCCUGGAUUCUGAAAAGCCCAGAUUCUGCAAUUGAAGAGAAUCAUACAUACCUGACUGGCAUGGGGCUAGAGAUUUUUCCACCAAAACCCACUGUGAUCAUGUUUAUUUCAUUUCAUCCAGUAGACUGGACUCUCUUCAUAUGCACUUUUUUCAUCUCCAGCUUCAGGCAGAUUAACUCAGCAAACUUGGAAGCCAGAUGAU